GAUGAACGCUGGCGGCGUGCCUAAUACAUGCAAGUCGAGCGAACGGACGAGAAGCUUGCUUCUCUGAUGUUAGCGGCGGACGGGUGAGUAACACGUGUAUAACCUACCUAUAAGACUGGGAUAACUUCGGGAAACCGGAGCUAAUACCGGAUAAUAUUUUGAACCGCAUGGUGCAAAAGUAAAAUACGGUCUUGCGGUCACUUAUAGAUGGAUCCGCGCUGCAUUAGCUAGUUGGUAAGGUAACGGCUUACCAAGGCAACGAUGCAUAGCCGAACUGAGAGGGUGAUAGGCCACACUGGAACUGAGACACGGUCCAGACUCCUACGGGAGGCAGCAGUAGGGAAUCUUCCGCAAUGGGCGAAAGCAUGACGGAGCAACGCCGCGUGAGUGAUGAAGGUCUUCGGAUCGUAAAACUCUGUUAUUAGGGAAGAACAUAUGUGUCCGUAACUGUGCACAUCUUGACGGUACCUAAUCAGAAAGCAACGGCUAACUACGUG
This 497-nucleotide ribosomal RNA is filed under the name uncultured bacterium. RNAcentral's name for it is "partial 16S ribosomal RNA". It matches the Rfam family "Bacterial small subunit ribosomal RNA", at positions 28 to 507 of the family's 1533-position model. The record is from RNAcentral.